GCUCUGGGAUAGCUUAGUUGGUAGAGCAUGAGACUCUUAAUCUCAGGGUUAUGGGUUUGAGACCCAACUUGGGCA
Molecule: non-coding RNA, 75 nt
Organism: Podarcis lilfordi (Lilford's wall lizard)
Lineage: Eukaryota; Metazoa; Chordata; Lepidosauria; Squamata; Lacertidae
Source: the annotation of a GenBank genome assembly